GGGGGCGUACCGGCUUCGACGGGGACACGUCGGGGUCAUGGUUGCAUGCCGAGCUGAUUACCUCGCAAAUCUGAUCAAAACUGAGUAGCUGCGAACAACAGCGAACUCGCCCUCGCGGCCUAAAAACCCGUGAGCGUCCGCCCGAUGGUUGCUCACGCCGUCGGGUCCGGAUGUCAUCAAUGUGAGCUAAGCGUUCGCGCACCGUCUCGGCGCAGACGUCGAAAACCACAGAGGCUGGUCCACAUCCGUUCCCCGCUCUCCGGGCAGGAUGAGGACGAGAACUAAAAGGAGAGCUAAGCAUGUAGUAGCCAGGCUUCACUGCUCUCGGACGGGGGUUCAACUCCCCCCGCCUCCACCA
RNAcentral lists this transfer-messenger RNA (358 nucleotides) under Thermoanaerobaculia. Its description in RNAcentral is "JADGNZ01 sp019247495 Standard tmRNA". It matches the Rfam family "transfer-messenger RNA". Rfam says of the family: Bacterial tmRNA, also known as 10Sa RNA or SsrA, is named for its dual tRNA and mRNA-like properties. Its role is to liberate the mRNA from a stalled ribosome. To accomplish this part of the tmRNA is used as a reading frame that ends in a translation stop signal. RNAcentral also lists the same sequence under 1 other name. Lineage: Bacteria; Pseudomonadati; Acidobacteriota. The record is from RNAcentral.